This 312-nucleotide long non-coding RNA is filed under the name Setaria viridis. RNAcentral's name for it is "long non-coding RNA (SVIR_LNC005782)". Lineage: Eukaryota; Viridiplantae; Streptophyta; Magnoliopsida; Poales; Poaceae. The record is from RNAcentral.
GGAGAUUGUAAGAGCAAGAGCUCGAAUGGUAACACAGGGGCGUAAUGUUUAGACAGGUUCGAAACUCUGGAGAAUAAUACCCUACGUUCUGUGUUCUAAUAGAUUGUAUUGCUGGGAUGGGAUGCGAAGAGUCGAUGUACCCUCGGGGGGCGUCUCUGGCCGCCUUAUAUAGGCUGACAACCUAGAGUUACAAUCGGAUAGAACCUAGUCGCUUGUUACAUGAAAAGCAAUCUGAGUCGGACUACAACAAGUAUCCUGCAAUAUCCGGACAGAAUCUGUUCGCCCGGCCUCUGAGCUUGUGCUCCACAUAUC